UUCACUCGUUCUCUUCCUCUCCUUCACUCGUUCUAUUCCUCUCCUUCACUCGUUCUCUUCCUCCCCUUCACUCGUUCUCUUCCUCCCCUUCACUCGUUCUCUUCCUCUCCUUCAAUCGUUCUCUUCCACUUCUUCAAAUUAAUUAAUUCAUUCAUGUGUGUAUAUAGUCAGUGUGUGUUUAAUUUGUGUGAAUGUUGCUUUCUCAUCACUUCACACAUUCAUCCUCUCAUCCCACUGUAAUCAUGUGAUUUGUGGAUCUGACUCACAGUGACCUUUGAACCCUCUUAGGUGUGUGUGUGUGCAUUUCCAUGGCGUCAGGUGUCUGUGUGUUGUCAGUGUGUGUGUGUGUGUGUGUGGCGUUUAACCUCGACACAUCAUUCCCGCUGCUGAAGACGGGACGACGCAGAACCCUGUUUGGCCUGUCGGUGGCGCUGCACCAAGACCUGAGGACAGACAGUCUCCUGCUCUUGGUUGGAGCUCCCAGGGAGAAGGCGGAGCCUGGUGUUCCAGCAAAUCAAACAGGGGGCGUGUACAGCUGCCCAGUGAGCACAGACCAAUCAGAAUGCAGCAGGAUGAAGCUCAUUGAUCCAGAGGUCAACCUGUCAGAGGACCUGAUAGAAGACAUGUGGCUGGGAGUGACUGUGGCCAGCCAGGCUCCUCCCGGUGGGCGGGUCCUGGUGUGUGGUCAUCGGUUCGUUAAACUUUACGGACCUUUAGGAAUCAGACAGAUGAUUGGUCGAUGUUAUCUCCGUGGAAACGACCUGUGGUACAAUGACACUGACAUGAACUGGCAGAACCCAGAACAACCGUGCAGUCACCUGGGUGAUGUCAGAGCUGAGGUCAUGUGUAACGCAGGUAUUUCAGCUUCAAUCACUCAGAACGAGGUCAUCAUCGGAUCACCUGGAAGUUACGAAUGGCAAGGAAAUGUCCAUGUUUCCUGGUUAAACCCUGACGACGUCUUUGACUCUCAGAAAAGUUCCUUCACCAACAUGAACCACAGAAGCAUUUAUAUCGGAUACUCUGUCACUCAGUCUCACCAUCUUCUCUCUGGGAACGAUGUAACCAUAGUAACAGGUGCUCCAAAGGACAGUAAACAUGAUGCACGUGGCUCCGUGCUGUUGGCGGUGAAACGGUCCAAUCAGCUGAUCGGUCAGCUCACCCUGCGCGGCGAGCAGACCGGCUCGUACUUCGGUAACGCCGUAGCAACCAGCGACUUCAACAACGACGGGUGGGACGACCUGUUGGUUGGCGCUCCUUUUUACUUCCAUCGCCAACGGGAGGUGGGUGGAGCCGUUUAUGUCUACAUGAACUCAGGUGGGAGGAUCAGUCCAGAACCCAGUGUGGUUCUGAGAGGACCAGCUGGGUCGGCCUUCGGUAUGAGUGUCACUGCUGCUGGAGAUCUGAAUCAAGACGGCUUCCAGGACUUUGCAGUCGGAGCUCCGUUCCAUGAAACAGGAAGUGUGAUGAUCUGGGUUGGGAGUAAAGACGGAGUGACAACAGAACCGAGCCAGGUCUGCCUGUCUGUCUGUCUGUCUGUGAGACAGACAGACAGACAGACAGACAGACAGUGUGGUGUGUGCUGCCCUCUGCAGGUGAUCCGUGGCAGCAGCGUGUCUCCUCGCUUCAGGACGUUCGGCUUCUCUCUGUCCUCAGGUUUGGACGUGGACGGGAACAAGUAUCCAGAUCUGCUGAUCGGCUCUCUGGACGACACGGUCGCUCUGCUCAGAACCCGUCCAGUCAUCCAUCUCAGUAAAACACUCCGUGUUUUUCCAAACAUCGUCGACUCAAACGUCUGUGACUUUUGUAUUCAGGUGGAAGUGUGUUUCUCUUACAUCUUCAGCACCGGAGAGAAAAGUGACAGAGACAACAUCACUGUCUCUUUCACUGUAGCUGCUGACAUCACCAGCCUCAAGCCCCGCCUCCAUUUCCAUGACAACGGGCACAGCACCUACUCCACUUUCCUGUCCAUGUCAAAAAAACUAUGUCAAACCAUCAGAGUGGGACUUCUGAGUCCAGUCAGAGACAAAGUGGAGCCUCUGGUCUUUUCUCUGGACGCUUCGUUACAUGAAAACCUUCCCAAGAGAAGAAGUCCUCUACACAACCUCAAACACUUCCCAGUGCUGAGCCACACACCACAUCCCAUCAGAACCCAGAUCCAGAUCCAGAAGACCUGUGGUUCUGAAAACCAUUGCCAUAGUAACCUGCAGAUGACAGCCCAGUUCACAGACGAAGAUCAAAAACCCUUCAGUAGGGUGAAUGUCUCUCAGUUGUUACAGAACAACAUCACAGUAACCAGGUUAUUACUGGAGGUUAACAUCAGUAACCUUCAGUCUCCAGGUCGUCCGGCAGAGGACGCUCAAGCUGCCACUCUGAACAUCAGCUUCCCUCCAUCACUCUUAUACUCUGGAGUUCGGACUAAGGGUGAAAUGAUGACAUCAUCAGUCAAGUGUUCAGUCAAACACCUGGUUCUUGUGUGUGAGCUGGGGAACCCGUUCAGAAGCCAGCAGAAGGUUCAGGUGUGGAUCAUAUUUCAGUUUGACAUGACUGUGGACACAACAGAGAUCCAGGCUGAACUACAGCUGUCCACUCUCAGUGAACAGUCUCUGUCUCCCGUCCUCGUCUCACUGUUGGUGAAUCACUGGCUGCUGACGUCUCUGUCUCUAAUCAGCUCACCAGGCCCCGCCUCCUUCAGUGGUCAUGUGAUGGGUGAGAACCUUGGCGCUCUGCUGCUCUUCAUCUUCCAGGUGCACGUCCAAGGCCCAUCACUUGGUCGUCUAGGUAACCUGGCGGUGGAGUUUCAUUGGCCGGGGGCGUUGUCCAAUGGGAAGCGGUUGCUGUACCUCACAGAGGUCCAGGUGCAGGGCGCUCGCUGUGAUCCACCUGACACGGUAACCAUGCUGUUAGAGGAGGGGAAGGACAGAGGGAGGCGGAACCUGGAGGAGGAGCAUGUCCUCCACCUGUACGCACACAGAAAAAAGUCCUACAUUCUGGACUGUGUACAGGGAGCCAAGUGUGUGACAUUUGUGUGUCCACUGACGGACAUGAAGAACUCAGCGACUCUGACAGUCCGAGCCCGGCUGUGGAGCACCACCAUGAUGGAGGACUUUACUGACGCAGAAAGUGUUGUGGUCCGAGGUCGAGCGACUCUGAAGCUGCACACAAACACAACCAACAUCAAAAUGGAGCCUCACAGUGUGGACAUUGAGGUCCACAUUUAUCCAGAGCUGGGACAGCAGGUGGACUUCAGUGCCCCCUGGUGGCUGUUGGUGGUGUCUGUUAUGGUUGGAGUGUCACUGCUGGCUGUGAUCUGUCUGCUGCUGUGGAAGAGAGUUAUUGUAAGUCCUGAUGGCUGAUGGCAGGAAUGACUUCCUGAAUCUGUCCUUGUGACAGCGGAGCUGUCUGAAUCUCUUGGAGAAUGUGCUCUCCUGGGCCUGGAGGAUGUGGUGGAGAGGAUGAUCGGGGUUAUCCAUGAUGGAAAAAAGUUUAUUAAGCAUCCUCCUCUCCGAUGAUGGAGUCGGCCUUCUUUAUCAGUUUGUUGAGUUUGUUAGUUUUACCGGCUCCAUGCUGCUCCCCCAGCACACCACAGCAAAGAACAGUGCACUGGCCACAACAGACUGGUAAAAUAACUCCAACAUCUUGCUGCAUACAUCAAACAUCAAACCUCGCAGCCUCCUCAGAAAGAAGAGCCUGCUCAUCCCCUUCCUGUACACAGCACCGGUGUUAGCCUUCCAGUCCAGUCUGUUGUUCAGCCUCACACCUAGGAAUUUGUAUUCCUCCACCAUCUCAAUGACCUCCCCCAGUACCCUCAAAGGUUGUGGAGCUGUCCUCUUCCUCUUGAAGUCCAGCACCAUCUCCUCUUCUUCAGGACACAGACUGACUGUUUCUGUACAGAUUGACUGACUAAUGUUUACUUGUGUGGUUUCUUUGUGCGUCACACGGUUGCACUCCACCAGGGGAGGAUUAUGGGUAAACAGCAGCAGCACAAGGAUGCCGACGGUUUCC
Solea solea (common sole) is the source of this 4002-nucleotide RNA transcript. It is a transcript of the gene named integrin alpha-3-like, with no coding region annotated. The record is from RefSeq and is a predicted model, not a curated record. The transcript is spliced from 27 exons. NCBI's taxonomy places the organism in Eukaryota, Metazoa, Chordata, Actinopteri, Pleuronectiformes, Soleidae.